UUUUUGAAGAUCAGGGGGAUUUUCAAGUUUUUGCAAGGUUACUAGUUUGGUUUCAUUGGAGGUUUUUGAAGAUCAGGGGGAUUUUCAAGUUUUUGCAAGGUUACUAGUUCGGUUUCAUUAGAGGUUUUUGAAGAUCAGGGGGGUUUUCAAGUUUUUGCAAGGUUACUAGUUCGGUUUCAUUCGAGGUUUUUUUUGAAGAUCAAGGGGAUUAGAGAGAGGAGCUUCAUGCUUCGGGUCAGGGAAGGAAAGACAUAGAAUUUGGAUUUUUCUUCUUCGUAGAGUUUUGGGAAGACUGAGGCAAUCGCUGCUGAAGUCAGUAUUGUAAUGGUGAAUCAGGAUUUUUAAUGAAGUGGGUUUGAAUACUCUUGACUGUUUUAUGAAAUCGAGUUACGUUUGUGAUUGAAGGAUUAAAAAGGUGUCUAUAGGAUUGAGUAUGCGGAGUGAAUGAAAUUUAUUGGGUUAAUCUAACAAGACAGUCAGUGGAUACAAGAUCGUAAGUACAAAGCGGUAUUGAAGAUUAACAGUUUGGGUUGUUUGGGGUUCUCUGUAACGUCUAGAGAC
This 561-nucleotide long non-coding RNA is filed under the name Physcomitrium patens. RNAcentral describes it as "long non-coding RNA (PPAT_LNC008303)". Lineage: Eukaryota; Viridiplantae; Streptophyta; Bryopsida; Funariales; Funariaceae. The record is from RNAcentral.